GCCCUCCUCUCCUCCAGCCCUCAGUGUCUGUAGCCCUCUUUUUUUUUCUGGCAGUGCUGCCUUUUGGUGUCUGACCCCUUGCUAGGAGCCAGCAGGGGAGGAGGGAGGCUGUGGGCUAGAAGGGAUGUGUCCUGGCAUCUCCUUUCCCCCAGGGGAAGAAGGCAGGGGGUGGCUGCCCUGCUUAAACCCCCCUGGGGAAAUCCAGGCUUCGGAGGCUCUGCUGAAGUAAGAGAUCGGACGUGGGAUAAGGAAACGGGUGGGGAAAUGAACGCGUAACAGCUGCUGGGAGGCAGGAGGGAUUGAAGUGGUCUUUUCCUCUCAACUCCUCCGCUUUGAAGUCGGUCCUGCCCUGGGAGAGGUGAGAUAAAACAGACUGGGAGGGUGGAGAGCCGGGACAACCAGGAGAGAGAAGGGAAAUACAGGGAGACACGGGGAUGAAGCACUCAGAAAGGUGGGACAGAGGCUGCAUAACCCAAAUACCCUUCGGUCAGUCUGUUGUAGAAAGCCCUUGAAGUGUCAGAGCUGAGCCGUGGACCUCGUUUUCUGCUGGGUGUCCAAGUUUGGGACCAUCUAAGGGGUGCAGUGCUUGCGAGCCUGCUUGCACUUCUGAAAAUAAGGCUGUGGGUGGGGAGAGCUCCUGCAGAGCCUGAGCAGGGCUCAAAGCGAGAGCAGGGGACAGCUGGGGUGGGUAGGCACUGAUGCUGCAGGCUGACAGGGAGGCUUUUCCCAUUUUGGAGAAACAAAGUCUUCAAAUCCACCUCGCCUCGGAACUGGAAGUGGCGAAGCCCCUAGGAAACAGCUCGCUGCUGAGGGACGGGCUGGCACAGGGCCACGUGAUUGUAAAUCUGUUAUCCCCAGCCCAGCCUGGUCCUGCCCUCGCCUGUGAGUUAAUUCAUCCCUCACAGCUGAAGGAACUGGCACUUCUCUCCUAAUAAAAUUCUCGAACUGUUAGCAAGUGAAGCAUUUAGCUUUGCAGAGGGGGAAGAAGACACUCCUGUGCUGAUGGAGAGCACGGGGCAUUUCUUCUGCUUCCUCUGAGGCUGCAGCACCGUGGUGGGCAACCGGUGAUAAAAAA
Molecule: non-coding RNA, 1075 nt
Organism: Anas platyrhynchos (mallard)
Lineage: Eukaryota; Metazoa; Chordata; Aves; Anseriformes; Anatidae
Source: RefSeq, a predicted model, not a curated record